Molecule: non-coding RNA, 865 nt
Organism: Peromyscus maniculatus bairdii (prairie deer mouse)
Lineage: Eukaryota; Metazoa; Chordata; Mammalia; Rodentia; Cricetidae
Source: RefSeq, a predicted model, not a curated record
GAGAGGAAAGGAUGCCACAUUGGUUUGUGUAAGGAUGGCUUCGUUCUGCACUUCCAUGUGAGCCAGGAUCCUCGGCUGACAAGUGACAGAGAGUGAGUCCAAACAGGCCCGCGCCUUGGAGUUGUGGUUUAGUCAGCAGCAUCCUUGCCUAGCGGGCACACAAAGCCGGGGGUUUGACCUUUAGCCCUGUACAAACUGAGUGUGUCAGCCCUUGAGACGUGGAAGCAGAAGAAUCUGGAGUGUAAGGCUAUCUUUAACUACACAGUAAGUUCAAAGCCAGCCUGGGUUAUAUGAGACCCUGUUUUGUUAAAAUAAAUAAAUAAAUAAAUAAACUGAAUAAACUGUGUUUGAAGAGCUAUGGUACAGAGCUCAGCAGUGACUGACAGAAAGGGAGACGUGAGACUUUGGACAAAAGCAAGAACCAGGGAAGCUCUAGGCUUCUGAGGGUGGUAAUCAACCCUUGAACAUCUUUAUUGCAAGUCCCAGUGGGGGGAGCCAUGCCCCUCCCUCGCAGGCUGUCACAUCAGGAACUCUGUCUGCGUCCCCCUCCGGCCGUCACCACCCAUGUAUCUGAGGGCUGCGACAUGGGCAGAAAAAUAGAAGUGCUAGGGUGUGCACUGGAAGUCUCCCAGGACCAGGACCAGGACCAGCCUCAGUCAGCUGUCUAAGAAGGCUGGGGAGGAUGUACUAAGGGUCAGGCCAGAGGACUACAGAGCUCUGAGCACCAAAGAUAAGCAUUUGCUGUUCUGCUGAGUUUUGACAUGUGCAAUACCAGGGUCCUUGGAAAGCAAGACCACUGCCUGCUACACUCAACGUUCCCAGCACGUGACAGGCAUCUCAUAAAUCCAUUCCAAUGAAUGAAAGG